CGAGCUCAUGAGGAAUUGAUUGAUUUUCUUUGGUGGAAAGGCUCAACUCAUGUCAUAGCUCAAACUCUUUUAACAAGAAUGAAUUGAAACGGCCUAGAAACGACGAAUUGAGCCAAAAACAAAAGGGAAAGAACGAAGAACACAACAACACAAACACAGGCACAAGUGUGAUUCUUCAGUCGUAUCUCGAAGGACAUAAGGAGAAUUUGGAACCUUCUUUGCCAACCAAAAGCUUGAGUUUUUACACAAACAAGAUCCCGGAGGACUAAUCUAAUUUAUUUCAUACCAGCGUUGACCUUCUGAGCAGCAAAAUGCCCAAUAGAAGCCACGACGACGGCUUUCGUCGACCUGGAGAAGAUGAGUCGUGGGAAGUGUUAUUGGGCUGUCUAAUGGUAUAAAAACAGAUAGAAUGAAGCCCAACUUGCCUUGCAAGCAGCUCAGCAUUAAUAUGGUAUUGAGCUGCAUCCUCAUUUUUGUUAUUCAGCGCAUACUGAAAAUUGCGGUGCAAAUGUGGAGGGGGCGGUCAAAGUUGCGAUUGACUUCUUUAGUGGUGAAUGCACAGUGGUUCCUCGAUGCGAG
This 579-nucleotide long non-coding RNA is filed under the name Sorghum bicolor (sorghum). RNAcentral's name for it is "long non-coding RNA (SBIC_LNC001287)". Lineage: Eukaryota; Viridiplantae; Streptophyta; Magnoliopsida; Poales; Poaceae. The record is from RNAcentral.